This 460-nucleotide ribosomal RNA is filed under the name uncultured bacterium. RNAcentral describes it as "partial 16S ribosomal RNA". It matches the Rfam family "Bacterial small subunit ribosomal RNA", at positions 338 to 795 of the family's 1533-position model. The record is from RNAcentral.
CCUACGGGAGGCAGCAGUGAGGAAUAUUGGUCAAUGGGCGGAAGCCUGAACCAGCCAAGUAGCGUGCAGGAUGACGGCCCUACGGGUUGUAAACUGCUUUUAUACGGGAAUAACGCGUCUUACGUGUAGGGUUUUGCAUGUACCGUAUGAAUAAGGAUCGGCUAAUUCCGUGCCAGCAGCCGCGGUAAUACGGAAGGUCCGGGCGUUAUCCGGAUUUAUUGGGUUUAAAGGGAGCGCAGGCGGCAUGUUAAGUGAGCUGUGAAAUGUCCGGGCUCAACCCGGGCCUUGCAGCGCAAACUGGCGUGCUUGAGUCCGCGAAAAGCAGGCGGAAUUCGUGGUGUAGCGGUGAAAUGCUUAGAUAUGGCGAAGAACCCCGAUUGCGAAGGCAGCUUGCUGCAGCGAAACUGACGCUGAGGCUCGAAAGCGUGGGUAUCGAACAGGAUUAGAUACCCUAGUAGUC